GCGUCUGAUUAGCUAGUUGGUGGGGUAAAAGCCUACCAAGGCAACGAUCAGUAGCCGGCCUGAGAGGGUGAACGGCCACAUUGGGACUGAGACACGGCCCAAACUCCUACGGGAGGCAGCAGUGGGGAAUAUUGCACAAUGGGGGAAACCCUGAUGCAGCGACGCCGCGUGAGUGAAGAAGUAUUUCGGUAUGUAAAGCUCUAUCAGCAGGGAAGAAAUACUGACCAUAGGGUCAGCAGACGGUACUUGACUAAGAAGCCCCGGCUAACUACGUGCCAGCAGCCGCGGUAAUACGUAGGGGGCAAGCGUUAUCCGGAUUUACUGGGUGUAAAGGGAGCGUAGACGGCAGCGCAAGUCUGAAGUGAAAUGCCAGGGCUUAACCCUGGAACUGCUUUGGAAACUGUGCAGCUAGAGUGCAGGAGAGGUAAGUGGAAUUUCUAGUGUAGCGGUGAAAUGCGUAGAUAUUAGGAGGAACACCAGUGGCGAAGGCGGCUUACUGGACUGUAACUGACGUUGAGGCUCGAAAGCGUGGGGAGCAAACAGGAUUAGAUACCCUGGUAGUCCACGCUGUAAACGAUGAUUACUAGGUGUUGGGGGACCAAGG
RNAcentral lists this ribosomal RNA (604 nucleotides) under uncultured bacterium. Its description in RNAcentral is "bacterial SSU rRNA". It matches the Rfam family "Bacterial small subunit ribosomal RNA", at positions 233 to 836 of the family's 1533-position model. The record is from RNAcentral.